RNAcentral lists this ribosomal RNA (464 nucleotides) under uncultured bacterium. Its description in RNAcentral is "partial 16S ribosomal RNA". It matches the Rfam family "Bacterial small subunit ribosomal RNA", at positions 339 to 795 of the family's 1533-position model. The record is from RNAcentral.
CUACGGGGCGCAGCAGUGGGGAAUAUUGCGCAAUGGGCGCAAGCCUGAUGCAGCCAUGCCGCGUGUAUGAAGAAGGCCUUCGGGUUGUAAAGUACUUUCAGCGGGGAGGAAGGGAGUAAAGUUAAUACCUUUGCUCAUUGACGUUACCCGCAGAAGAAGCACCGGCUAACUCCGUGCCAGCAGCCGCGGUAAUACGGAGGGUGCAAGCGUUAAUCGGAAUUACUGGGCGUAAAGCGCACGCAGGCGGUUUGUUAAGUCAGAUGUGAAAUCCCCGGGCUCAACCUGGGAACUGCAUCUGAUACCGGCAAGCUUGAGUCUCGUAGGGGGGGGUAGAAUUCCAGGUGUAGCGGUGAAAUGCGUAGAGAUCUGGAGGAAUACCGGUGGCGAAGGCGGCCCCCUGGACGAAGACUGACGCUCAGGUGCGAAAGCGUGGGGAGCAAACAGGAUUAGAUACCCGCGUAGUC